AAGUCCACUGUAACAGACAAAGUUGAGCCUGUCUGCACAAUCCUGGCUGCGCCUCCAAUGAGAAGGCGCCACAGCGGUGAGUCCAGGUGGGACACCGUGGCAUCUCGUUUUGGCUCCUGGUCUCGUCCUCAGCAAGGAUUCAUCCACCCACAGCCAGGUGUCAGAUAGGUAGCGGAGGCUGGUCCAUACGAGAUCUGUCCGGGCUGUUGUGCUUAUCUGCAGGGUUUGCACAAGAGCAGAAUUUGAGAGCAAGCUGACUGGGUCAUGUCCUGGCUGCAACAGUGCUCGAGUGCUUCCUCCCACAUCUUGUUUUCUUUCACCAACAGCAGUGAUACCAAAGAUCAGCCACAGGACUCAGGCACCUUGCAGUCAUUGAGUCGACCGUGAAGAUGUGAGUCCAUCUGUCUGACAGCUAAAGCUUGACCAAAACUGGAUCAAGCAAAGGGACGGUGACCCCAAGCACACCAGGAAUCUACAACAGAAUGGUUGAAAAAGAAAAGAAUCCAGCUGCUGUAGUGGUCCAGUCAACAACCUGAUUGAAAUGCUGAAGCAUUUUUGUUCAAUAAAAGAAUACAUGAUGUAAUGUGUCAUGUGCUGUUGUUCAACUCAGGCUGAAGGGGUCUUUGGGACAUCCAAAAGAGCAACAUGCAGCCAAUCAUAGUGGAUUGGAGGAGGUUUAAAAAACACAGGAAAGCAUGGGCUGAUAUACUGAUAAAAACUGAGAGCAUUCAAAUGGUCACAUGAUGGAAAGCAGUGACUAAUGAUUGUCUUAAGGCUUUUGAAAGUAUUCCCAACUGUCUUUGCUAACUUAUACAAGCAGGGAAAGAAUAUUAAAGGAGCUCUUGAGCUUGAUUUGAAUUGUUUCUGUGGAACUGUCCGAACGCUGUACAUGCAAACAUCUGUACGUCAGUGUUUUGUUGGAGUGUUGAAUAGCUCCAGCAAUGGAUUCUAAAUCUAAGUGAAUAAAUAAAUGAAGGUUGUGGAAGAAAAUGAAGGAUUUAACAGUGCAUGGGCAAAUUUGUCUGCUUUCAC
Molecule: long non-coding RNA, 1032 nt
Organism: Archocentrus centrarchus (flier cichlid)
Lineage: Eukaryota; Metazoa; Chordata; Actinopteri; Cichliformes; Cichlidae
Exons: 3
Source: RefSeq, a predicted model, not a curated record